GUGUUGACUUCAACAGCACAUACACUAAAAUGGGAAUGAUACAGAGAAAAUUGGCAUGGCCCCUAUGUACAGAUAACAUACAUUUUCAGAAAGCAUUCCAUAUAUUU
Small nuclear RNA from Sciurus carolinensis (gray squirrel), 107 nucleotides. The record is from RefSeq and is a predicted model, not a curated record. NCBI's taxonomy places the organism in Eukaryota, Metazoa, Chordata, Mammalia, Rodentia, Sciuridae.